This 2413-nucleotide ribosomal RNA is filed under the name activated sludge metagenome. RNAcentral's name for it is "bacterial LSU rRNA". It matches the Rfam family "Bacterial large subunit ribosomal RNA", at positions 583 to 2925 of the family's 2925-position model. The record is from RNAcentral.
UAUGUUUUUAUUAACAUAAAGGGCGACGCUGUGCCUAUUGAAGAAUGAGCCAACGAGUGUAUAGAUGCUGCUUUGGUUAAUCCUGCUCAGCGGGAGAAGCCAUAGGGAAACCGAGAUUUAAUAGAUCGUCCAUCUUUUCUUCGCAAUAAAUUUAUUUUAUUGCGAAGAGAUGAUGAGGUAGCAUUUAUACGACCCGAAGCCAGGCGAGCUUACUAUGGCCAGGAUGAACUCCGACGAAAGUCUGAGGGAGGUCCGAACCGGUUGGUUGUGCAAAACCUUCGGAUGAGCUGUGGUAAGAAGUGAAAAGCUAAUCGAGCCUGGUAAUAGCUGGUUCUCUCCGAAAUAGCUUUAGGGCUAGCGAUCAUCCAUUCAAUUUUUGGGGGUAGAGCUACUGGUUUAAUCGUAAAGGGCGAAAGCUCGACGAUUAAGUCAAACUCCGAAUACCAAAAACGAGGAUGAUCAGUAAGACUGCGGGGGCUAAGCUUCGUAGUCAAAAGGGUAAGAACCCAGAUCGCCGUCUAAAGCCUCUAAAUCUUGGUUAAGUGUUAAAGGAAGUGAUUAGCCGAAGACAGAUAGGAUGUUGGCUUAGAGGUAGCCACCAUUUAAAGAGUGUGUAACAACUCACUAUCAUAUUCCGACUUCGGUCGGAAUUGGCUGAUCGCGCCUAAAAUGUAGCGAGGCUUAAACCAAGUGCUGAAGACGCGAUUCCUUAUGUUUUGCAUAAGGAAGGUAGGAGAGCAUCCUAACAUCUGUGAAGUAGGAUUCGAGAGAACCUAUGGAGAGGUUAGGAGAGAGAAUGUUGGCAUGAGUAACCGCAUUCCCAAUGAGAAAUUGGGACGCCGAAAAUCCAAGGUUUCCGUGGCAAUGGCAAUCAUCCACGGGUUAGGCGAUCCUAAGGCAAUGGCGAAAGCCGCAGCUGAUGGAGAGCUGGUUAAUAUUCCAGCCCUUCCUAUAAAUUCGAUGGAGGGACGAAGGAAAAAAAUCUGAGCAUCUUAUUGGUUUGAUGUUCUUGAUGAGUAGAAAUGUUUGUUAGGUAAAUCCGACAAACUGCUUUAAAUAGCAAAUUUCAAUCAUCGAGAAAAUUUCGCUUCGGCGAAAAAUUCAGAUGCAGAGCCUUCCGAGAAAAACUUCUAAGGUUAGUUUAUAGGAAUUCGUACCGGAAACCGAAACAGGUGGAUUGGUGUAAGUACACUAAGGCGAACGGGUGAGUUCUCGUUAAGGAACUCGGCAAAAAAGCGGCCGUAAGUUCGCGAUAAGGCCUGCCUACGUUAAGUAGGCCGCAGCUAAAGAACCUCUGGCGACUGUUUAAUAAAAACACAGGUCCCUGCUAACUCGUAAGAGGAUGUAUAGGGGCUGACGCCUGACCGAUGCGAGAAGGUCAAGAGUGACAGUUGAUUUGUCGCAAGACAAAUCAGCCGAUCGCUUUAAGCCCUCGUCAAUGUCGGCGGUAACUAUAACCGUCCAAAGGUAGCGCAAUUCCUUGUCGGGUAAGUUCCGACGCGCAUGAAUGGCGUAACGAUCAGAGGACUGUCUCAACGAGAAGCCCGGUGAAAAUGCGAUUCCAGCGAAGACGCUGGGUACCUGCAACAAGACGAAAAGACCCCGGGAGCUUUACUGUAGCUUGAUAUUGGGUUUAAGUUGUUGCUGCGUAGCAUAGGUGGGAGACUGUGAAGCUCCGAUUCCGGUCGGAGUGGAGUCGCCAGUGAAAUACCACUCUGUAACAAUUUAAAUUCUAACUUUAGCGGUAAAAACGCUAGAGGACAGUGUCUGGCGGGCAGUUUUUCUGGGGCGGAAUCCUCCCAAAAGGUAACGGAGGAGUUUAUUAAGGUCGGCUAGGUGCGGAUGGAAAUCGCACUGGUCGUGUAAAGGCAUAAGCCGGCUUAACUGUGAGGCAGACACGCCAAACUCGAGUUUUUAUUAACUCGACGGUCCGUAAUUUUUAUUUACGGAUUGAGAUGCGAAAGCAGAACUUAGUGACCCGACGGUUCUUUUUAGAACGGCCGGAGACAUCGGACAAAAGCUACCCCGGGGAUAACAGGCUAGUCAGAUCCGAGAGUCCCUAUCGACGAUCUGGUUCGGCACCUCGAUGUCGGCUCAUCCUAGCGCGGGGCUGGAGAAGGUCCCAAGCGUUUGGCUGUUCGCCAAUUAAAAGGAUACGCGAGCUGGGUUUAAACCGUCAAAUUGGCGGCCUUCGUCGGAAACUUCGAAGUGAAAAAAUCGACUCAUAUCGGUGAAGUCCUAACAUUAUUUGCAAAAUAACCUGUCAUAUGUUGGGAUAAUACCGAGGGAAGUUGUAUAUGUCUAAAAAAUAAGAAUUAUAAUGAUUUUAGAGAGGUAGUAGAUUUAAUUGAUAAAUUUAAGAAAUUAAAUUAUUCUAAAAAACGAAAAAGACAUAUAUUAACCCCGUAGAGAC